CCCCAGGUCAGGCGGGGCUACCCGCUGAAUUU
Molecule: ribosomal RNA, 32 nt
Filed under: Silene damboldtiana
Lineage: Eukaryota; Viridiplantae; Streptophyta; Magnoliopsida; Caryophyllales; Caryophyllaceae
Description: partial 26S ribosomal RNA
Source: RNAcentral